Molecule: non-coding RNA, 26 nt
Filed under: Homo sapiens (human)
Lineage: Eukaryota; Metazoa; Chordata; Mammalia; Primates; Hominidae
Source: RNAcentral
UGGGAGUUGUUUUCACAGUGGCUUGC